GAUUAACGCUAGCGGUAUGCCUAAUACAUGCAAGUCGAACGCACAGCGAAAGGUGCUUGCACCUUUCAAGUGAGUGGCGAACGGGUGAGUAACACGUGGACAACCUGCCUCAAGGCUGGGGAUAACAUUUGGAAACAGAUGCUAAUACCGAAUAAAACUCAGUGUCGCAUGACACAAAGUUAAAAGGCGCUUUGGCGUCACCUAGAGAUGGAUCCGCGGUGCAUUAGUUAGUUGGUGGGGUAAAGGCCUACCAAGACAAUGAUGCAUAGCCGAGUUGAGAGACUGAUCGGCCACAUUGGGACUGAGACACGGCCCAAACUCCUACGGGAGGCUGCAGUAGGGAAUCUUCCACAAUGGGCGAAAGCCUGAUGGAGCAACGCCGCGUGUGUGAUGAAGGCUUUCGGGUCGUAAAGCACUGUUGUAUGGGAAGAACAGCUAGAAUAGGGAAUGAUUUUAGUUUGACGGUACCAUACCAGAAAGGGACGGCUAAAUACGUGCCAGCAGCCGCCGUAA
This 513-nucleotide ribosomal RNA is filed under the name uncultured bacterium. Its description in RNAcentral is "partial 16S ribosomal RNA". It matches the Rfam family "Bacterial small subunit ribosomal RNA", at positions 28 to 523 of the family's 1533-position model. The record is from RNAcentral.